GACAAGGUUUCCGUAGCUGAACCUGCGGAAGGAUCAUUAAUGAAUAUGCUCGAUGGGUUGUUGCUGGUCUCUUGAGACAUGUGCACACCUGUCUUGACUUCUAUUCAUCCACCUGUGCACUUUGCAUGGUCUCCUGAACAGAAAAAUGGGCUUUGACUCAGUUGGUGGGGUUAUUAUAUAUGCCACCUCUGGAAUUGAGACUUGUCUUACAUUGUGAUACUUGUCUCUCCACUGAGCACAUGAAAUUCAGAGACCAUGUCCCUUUAUCACAAACCAAAUAGCAUGUCAUCAGAAUGUGAUCAAUGGGCCAUAAUGCCUAUAUAAUUUUAUACAACUUUCAGCAACGGAUCUCUUGGCUCUCGCAUCGAUGAAGAACGCAGCGAAAUGCGAUAAGUAAUGUGAAUUGCAGAAUUCAGUGAAUCAUCGAAUCUUUGAACGCACCUUGCGCUCCUUGGUAUUCCGAGGAGCAUGCCUGUUUGAGUGUCAGUAAAAUUUCAACCCUUUUCCAGCUUGUCAGCUGGUAAAGAGGCUUGGACUGUGGAGGUUGUGCAGGGCUCAUUUUGAGUUUUCUGCUCCUCUGAAAUACAUUAGCGGAACUGUUUGCAAUCCGUCACAGGUGUGAUAGUUUAUCUACACCAAGAGGGUUGCUCUCUGUCUUGUUCAGCUUAAAACCGUCCGUGAGGACAGACUACUGAAACUUUUGACCUCAAAUCAGGUAGGACUACCCGCUGAACUUAAGCAUAUCU
This 746-nucleotide ribosomal RNA is filed under the name Leucoagaricus viridiflavus. RNAcentral's name for it is "partial 18S ribosomal RNA". The stretch from base 333 to 486 matches the Rfam family "5.8S ribosomal RNA". The record is from RNAcentral. Lineage: Eukaryota; Fungi; Basidiomycota; Agaricomycetes; Agaricales; Agaricaceae.